UACGGGGGGGGCGAGCGUUGUUCGGAAUUACUGGGCGUAACGGGCUCGUAGGCGGCCAACUAAGUCAGACGUGAAAUCCCUCGGCUUAACCGGGGAACUGCGUCUGAUACUGGAUGGCUUGAGUUCGGGAGAGGGAUGCGGAAUUCCAGGUGUAGCGGUGAAAUGCGUAGAUAUCUGGAGGAACACCGGUGGCGAAGGCGGCAUCCUGGACCGACACUGACGCUGAGGAGCGAAAGCCAGGGGAGCAAACGGG
Molecule: ribosomal RNA, 253 nt
Filed under: uncultured bacterium
Lineage: Bacteria
Description: partial 16S ribosomal RNA
Rfam family: Bacterial small subunit ribosomal RNA
Source: RNAcentral